UGUCUGGCACAGUGACAAAUGAUAACCUCCACAUUUGUAUGUUCCACCAUUGUCGCUACACCGUACACACCCCUUUCCAUUUGUGUGUUUCGCUACAAUUUCGCUCUUAUCGCUCACACUCUGUUUUUUUCUACAGUUACAUUUUACGCUGAACGCCGAACAUGUGACUCUGACUCUCCCAGUGUAGAGCUUGUUGGUUUCAUUUUCCAAGGCUCAAACCAUGCAAACAAGAAUCGUGUGCUACUUCUCCUGAUUUUUUUUAAAAUAAUAAAAGUAAACAAUUUUCAGUAUUAUUAGUUGUUUUGUUUGUUCCGAAACCAAAAGAUUGGUGUACGUGUGUCCACUUCGCUUCAACUUUCGUCAUGGCCUCGGUAAUGGGUUUUCGGGUCUCACCCGUUUCUGUUAUAAGCUCACUGAGAAUGACCAGUUUUCGAAUUCGGGCUCAGAGCUUGGACAGUGGAAGCUCGACGGUGUUGUCUUCUGAAUCUGAUUCAGUGGAAGCAGUGAACGGAGCUUCUGUGGUUGUGGGGUCUCAUCAAAAUGGUGUUUUGAUUAAGGAGGAAAGGAGAGUGGGUUUGUUGCAUGGUGGAGUUGAAGAGAAGAAGUGUGAAGAAGGUUUGGCACCACUUUGGGAUGAUGGAUAUGGGGUUCGAACUGUGGAAGAUUACUUUGUUGCAGCUAAGGAUAUGUGCAAGUUUGAUGGAGGCCCACCUCGAUGGUUUUGCCCAGUUGAAUGUGGUUCUCCUUCAAAAGAUUCUCCCACUCUUCUGUUUCUACCUGGGAUGGAUGGCACGGGAUUUGGCCUUUCUUUGCAUCAUCAAGCUCUUGGGAAGGCUUUUGAAGUUCGCUGCUUGCAUAUUCCGGUUCAUGAUCAAACACCAUUUGAAGGUCUUUGCUUUUUAAUGGCUGGUGAAACUUGUUGAAGAAGCUGUUAAACUUGAGCAUGCUUUGGCUCCAAAUAAGCCAAUUUAUCUGGUAGGUGAUUCCUUUGGUGGAUGCCUAGCACUUGCUGUUGCUGCUCGUAAUCCAACAGUUGACCUAGUACUGAUAUUAGCCAAUCCUGCUACAUCCUUUGGCAGAUCUCAGUUACAACCUUUGUUUCCUAUCUUGGAGGCUUUGCCUAAUGAACUGCAUGUCACUGUUCCCUUCCUUCUUAGUUUUGUUAUGGGUGAUCCAAUGAAGAUGGCAUCAGUCAACAUCGGCAAUAGGCUUCCUCUGAUAAAGAAAAUUGAACAAUUAUCAUACAACCUUACUGCAUUGCUACCAUGUCUUCCUGAUAUGGCUAAUAUUAUACCAAGGGACACUCUUCUUUGGAAGGUGAAACUUCUCAAAUCUGCUGCUGCAUAUGCUAAUUCGCGUCUUCAUGCUGUCAAAGCUGAAGUACUUGUGCUUGCUAGUGGCAAGGAUAACAUGCUUCCCAGUGUAAAUGAAGCUAAAAGACUUGCAGGCUUAUUGCAAAACUGCAAAGUUCGUAACUUCAAGGACAAUGGGCACACCCUUCUUCUGGAAGAUGGCAUUGGUCUGCUAACAAUCAUCAAGGGGACUUGCAUGUACCGUCGUUCAAGUCGGCAUGAUUUUGUCAAGGAUUUCAUUCCUCCCAGUAUGACAGAAUUCAGAUAUGCAAUGGAUCAAGUAGUUGGGUAAUUUGAUCUGGCAAUAUUAUGCUCAUCUUGUGUUCUUUCUAUUAGAAAAUUACUAGUUAAUGUCCUUAUUGCCUUGAUGGGUGAAAAUAAAGGGGGGGGGGGGGGUUGUUGAAGAAUUAAAGCUGAUAUGCUACUGAUAUGGAUUGCAGUUUGUUUCGUUCUGUUACUGGAUCGGUAUUUUUCUCAACCUUGGAUGAUGGGACGAUUGUAAAAGGUCUCUCUGGUGUUCCAGAUGAAGGUCCUGUCUUAUACGUUGGUUAUCACAUGUUGUUGGGGUUAGAGCUUAUCUCACUUACAGAUGAAUUUUUAAGUCAAAAGGGUAUUGCGCUUCGUGGAAUAGCCCAUCCUGAGCUGUUUACAGCAAAAAUAGAAAAUUUUUCUUCUGAGUUUUCUGUGUUUGAUUGGGUGAAGAUAUUUGGUGGUGUACCUGUUUCAGCAAGCAAUCUUUUUAAAUUACUUUCAACAAAAUCACAUGUUCUCUUAUACCCCGGAGGUGCGCGCGAGGCUCUCCAUUUUAAGGGGGAGGAAUACAAGUUGAUUUGGCCUGAUCAUCCUGAAUUUGUGAGAAUGGCAGCACGAUUUGGUGCUACAAUUGUGCCAUUUGGAGCUGUAGGCGAAGAUGAUAUAGCUGAAUUAGCUCUUGACUACAACGACUUAAUGAAGAUUCCCUUAGUCAACGAUUACAUCAGAAAUAUGAGUCGUGACUCAAUUAAGUUUAGGGAUGAAAUAAGUGGGGAGGUAGCAAACCAAAAUAUCACUUUUCCAGUGCUUCUACCCAAAAUACCAGGUCGCUUUUACUAUCUAUUUGGGAAACCCAUAAGAACAAAAGGCAUGGAGAAGAUGCUAAAAGACAGAGAAAUUGCAAGCCAACUUUACUUGCAGAUUAAGUCAGAAGUUGAACGAAAUAUAGAUUACUUGAUCAAGAAGAGGGAGGAGGAUCCAUACAGGAAUUUCAUUGAUAGGAAAGUGUAUCAGACAUUUAAUCCUCCUGAAACUGAUUCAACCCCAGCAUUUAAGCCCUGAAAAUGCGUUGGUACAUAAUGUAAUCAUAAUUAUUUUUAAGCAGAUACAUGUAGAUUGUCAUCAUUCUAAUAAAAAAAAUGGUGCAUUUGUUCGUUACAUUUGUAACAUUAUGAGUCUCACAUUGAGUACAAUAAGAAAUUCAAUGAAUUACU
This is an RNA transcript of Abrus precatorius (Indian licorice), 2818 nucleotides long. It is a transcript of the gene named acyltransferase-like protein At1g54570, chloroplastic, with no coding region annotated. The transcript is spliced from 12 exons. The record is from RefSeq and is a predicted model, not a curated record. NCBI's taxonomy places the organism in Eukaryota, Viridiplantae, Streptophyta, Magnoliopsida, Fabales, Fabaceae.